CGUGUUUAGUAUAUAAAUUUUUAUUUAAAAGUUUUAUUCUAGCUUAGAAUAUUAAUUUAUAUAUUUUAUUCAUAUAAAUUUAUUUUUAAAAAUUAAGUUAAUAGUAAAUAAUUUUAAAUAUUAAAGAAAUUUAGAAUUAGAAAUGUAUAAGAGUUUAAACAAAAUUUGUGCCAGCAGUUGCGGUUAUACAGAUUAAGCAAUUAAUAGAUUUUAGUUAAUAAUAAGUUUAUUAUUUUUAAAUUAAAUUUAAUGUUUAUUAAGUAAAAUUUUAAAUAUCAAUUUUUUUUUAUUUAAUUAAAUUAUUUAUUAAAUUUUAUAAAAAACUAGGAUUAGAUACCCUAUUAUUAAAAAAUAAAAUUAUACUAAAUUAAUAACAGUUAAUUUCUCUAAAUUUAAAGAUUUUGGCGGUAUUUUAGUCUUUUUAGAGGAAUCUGUUAAUAUAAUUUGAUAUUCCACGAAUAAAUUAACUUAAUUUAUAAAUUUAUAUAUCGUCGUAGUUAAAUUUUUUAAAAGAAAUUAAAUAUUUAAAAUUUAAAAUUUUAAAUUAAAUCAGAUCAAGAUGUAGUAAAUAAUUAAGAAUUAAUGGAUUACAUUAAUAAUAGUAAUGGUUUUAUUAUUUAAAAUAGUAGAUAAAUUGGAUUUAAAAGUAAUAUUUUUUAUUUAAAAUAUGAUUAAGCUCUAAAAUAUGCACAUAUUGCCCGUCGCUUUCAUUUAAAAUGAAAUAAGUCGUAACAAAGUAGAUUUACUGGAAAGUGUAUCUGGUAUUCAAAUUAAAGCU
RNAcentral lists this non-coding RNA (778 nucleotides) under Staphylinidae sp. BMNH 1274226. The record is from RNAcentral. Lineage: Eukaryota; Metazoa; Arthropoda; Insecta; Coleoptera; Staphylinidae.